AUUGAACGCUGGCGGCAUGCCUUACACAUGCAAGUCGAACGGCAGCACGGGGCAACCUGGUGGCGAGUGGCGAACGGGUGAGUAAUGCAUCGGAACGUACCUUUCAGUGGGGGAUAACGUAGCGAAAGUUACGCUAAUACCGCAUAUUCUGUGAGCAGGAAAGCAGGGGAUCGCAAGACCUUGCGCUGAUUGAGCGGCCGAUGUCAGAUUAGCUAGUUGGUGAGGUAAAGGCUCACCAAGGCGACGAUCUGUAGCGGGUCUGAGAGGAUGAUCCGCCACACUGGAACUGAGACACGGUCCAGACUCCUACGGGAGGCAGCAGUGGGGAAUUUUGGACAGUGGGGGCAACCCUGAUCCAGCCAUGCCGCGUGAGUGAAGAAGGCCUUCGGGUUGUAAAGCUCUUUCGGCUGGGAAGAAAUCGCACAGGCUAAUACUCUGUGUGGAUGACGGUACCAGCACAAGAAGCACCGGCUAACUACGUGCCAGCAGCCGCCGUAA
This 498-nucleotide ribosomal RNA is filed under the name uncultured bacterium. Its description in RNAcentral is "partial 16S ribosomal RNA". It matches the Rfam family "Bacterial small subunit ribosomal RNA", at positions 30 to 523 of the family's 1533-position model. The record is from RNAcentral.